AGCUAGAUGAGUUUAAUAUUUAGUGGUUUCUGCUCAAUGGUUUAACUAAAUAGCCGCAGUACCCUGACUGUGCAAAGGUAGCAUAAUCAUUUGGCUUAUAAUUGAAGUCUGGCAUGAAUGGAUUAAUGGGGAGCACCUGUCUACAAUAUUUUAAUAGAAUUUACUUAAUAAGUGAAAAUUCUUAUAGGUAAAUAAAAGACGAGAAGACCCUAGAAAUUUUAUUUAUCGUAGUAUUGUACUAUAUCAUUUUGUUGGGGCGACAGAAUAACACAUAACUUAUUUUAUUAAAUUAGCAUUAUAUAUUAUGAAAAAUUAAAUUACUCUAGGGAUAACAGCAUAAUUUAUAAAAGUUUGUGACCUCGAUGUUGGACUAGGGAUUUUAAUAUUCAAAAGGUAUUAAAAAUUUGCUCUGCUCGAGCAUUAACCCCUACAUGAUCUGU
This 440-nucleotide ribosomal RNA is filed under the name Helicopsis striata. Its description in RNAcentral is "partial 16S ribosomal RNA". It matches the Rfam family "Bacterial large subunit ribosomal RNA", at positions 1832 to 2608 of the family's 2925-position model. Lineage: Eukaryota; Metazoa; Mollusca; Gastropoda; Stylommatophora; Geomitridae. The record is from RNAcentral.